AGUGAACGCUGGCGGUAGGCCUAAUACAUGCAAGUCGAACGGCAGCACAGUAAGAGCUUGCUCUUACGGGUGGCGAGUGGCGGACGGGUGAGGAAUACAUCGGAAUCUACUUUUUCGUGGGGGAUAACGUAGGGAAACUUACGCUAAUACCGCAUACGACAUACGGGGGAAAGCAGAGGAUCUUCGGACCUUGCGCGAUUGAAUGAGCCGAUGUCGGAUUAGCUAGUUGGCGGGGUAAAGGCCCACCAAGGCGACGAUCCGUAGCUGGUCUGAGAGGAUGAGCAGCAACACUGGAACUGAGACACGGUCCAGACUCCUACGGGAGGCAGCAGUGGGGAAUAUUGGCCAAUGGGCGAAAGCCUGAUCCAGCCAUACCGCGUGCGUGAAGAAGGCCUUCGGGUUGUAAAGCCCUGUUAUUACGAAAGAAAAGAAGCAGGAUAAUACCCCGCUGUUCUGACGGUACCCAAAGAGUAAGCACCGGCUAACUUCGUG
This 492-nucleotide ribosomal RNA is filed under the name uncultured bacterium. Its description in RNAcentral is "partial 16S ribosomal RNA". It matches the Rfam family "Bacterial small subunit ribosomal RNA", at positions 29 to 507 of the family's 1533-position model. The record is from RNAcentral.